GCACACUAUAACCAUAUUUUGCCAGUCUCGAAUGUCGACUGUCUAUCUCACAUCCUCUCCGGCUUCCGCCUCUCGGCUCUCACUGUCUGUCUCGCCGUUUCACCUUUCGCAGCUCCGCGCCUCGGCCGACGGCCUCUCUCCCUAGUCCCUGCGACUCGGCGACUCUGUUCUUCAACUUUGACUGCUCGACCUCUCUUCUGAGUUCCGACUCCAGGUAAAUUUUCAUUCACUAUCAAGAUUCGAGUGCAUGACUGCAUGUUGUUUUGAUUAGUAGUUUAGACUAUGUUAUUCUUUGUACUCUUUUUUCUCUCUCUUAAAAACUGACUCAUAACUCAUAAGUCAUAGGGAUAGUGUAAGGAGAGAGGGAGAUCAGAGGGAGAGGGAGAGGGAGAGGGAGAGGGAGACAGAAUUAGAAAUUUGGUAUUGAAGUUUCACAGCUUUCAGGUGUGUUUAAGUUUAAUUUUCUACAUAUAUCUUCCAAUUUUCUUAACAACCAAAUGGUUUUUUUUUUCUAACUCUCUGUUUCAGUGUUUUGGGGAUUAAGUUUAUGGCAUUGGUUUAUGUUUGGUUGAGGAGAUAGUGUUGAAGAAAAGAAUUUGAAAUUAUUGGGCUUGAUGCUUGCAGAUUUAACAAUACAUUGCAUUUGAUUUUACUGAUAGAUUUUAUAUUAAAAAUUUUGGGGGACUUUUGGAUUUGUAUUCUUUAACUAUCAUCAUAAUUAUCAAGUGUAGUUUUAUAACUAAUGAAAUAUAUAAUUUCAAUUAUAAUGUUAAUAUUAAGUUUGUGGAAUGUUAACAAAAUUGUAUCUUUCUACUUCAUAAUUUCUCGUAGCUUUAGUUUAUUUGUUGCUUAAGAACUUGGAAAUUUGUAAUUUUUGAUUCAACAUGACUACACAAUUUAGUCGAGUUUAUUUGAUUUCCAGCAGUUCAGUUUAUUCAAUUUACUGUUGGAAUUUUGUGCUUUAUUUAUUUAUUUAUAUAUAUAUAGUUUCCUUCUCUCCAUAUUGUUUGCACUCUGCACCUUUCAAUAUGUUAGCUAACUAGCAUGUUAGCUGAUGCAAGCCUAAGUAUAUUUUUUUAAUGUGACGUUGUUCUUCUAUGGUGAAUUUUAAACAGUUUGAGCUGCAGAUUUUUUAAAGGUGUGAGCUGGUAUAUUAGGACCGACUGUUUAUUUGAUAUUGUUAUUGUGUUGGGAUGUGAUUUGCUCUCCCUUUCCUUUCCUUUCCUUUCUUUUUCCUUUUGGCUUUAAAUUACUUGAAUUUUGAAAAUUUUGGACAAGUAAAAUAUUCAAUUCUUAUGGAACAAAAAUUUGCUUGGUCAAAAUGAGAAAUGGAUUCUAGCAUAAUGAACGCUAUGGAAAAGCUAACAUGGCUAAUAUAAGAAUUUAAUCAGGAAGGUUCCUUCGUUGUCUACAUGACCAGCAGAAUUACAAAAUAGGUCUAAAAUAUGACUUGAUUUUCUAACUGUUGAUCAUAGCUAGGACUUUCACUACUGCCAGGAGGCCAAUGGUUGCAAGAAACUCUCACAAUUACCCCUAUGUAUCUAAUAAUAUUUAUCAUUAGGCUCACUAACCCAAUGCUAAUGAUGACCUCUUGCUUGUCUUGUAAUGGAGAUGAUAUAUUCCAUCCCAGAGUAAUAUUUGAAUUAGUGAUGAUCUGCUUUGUAAAAUCUAUUGAAGAAAAGAAAUGUUGAGUUGUUGUCUUACUAUCCUAAUCUUACAUAUAAUCUCCUUUUUGUGUCCAACUCAGAUUUGUGGUUUUAAAGAAACAGAUAAUGGGUGACAAUUUGCUGCUGUAUGGACCAAGUUUAUGAUUAGUACACCAUUAGUCACUGUUGGUGAAAAGUUCAGUUCCACAUCUUAAAUUGGUAUGAGUUAUUGUGACAAGAGAUGUCUGCCUUUCUUGUCCUUUAAAUGAAAGUGAGUAGAGAUGAAAAGAAAUUCACUAUCAUGAUCAUGUAACAUAGAGAGUAAUACAACUUUUUGAAAAAAGAAAAGAAAGUUACACUGUAUAUAUGUGCUCAAUAACCACAUCCUGUGACCAUUAUAUAUAGUGAAGCAUUGGUGCUGCUCUGCCAUCUUUAUUUCUUGCUAGAUUUUAUCACAUCAUGAGAAAACUCAUUUAUGCUAUUGUUGAUUCUCAUUUUUGUUCCUAUUAAAUUUUCUCUGAUAAGACCAGUUAUUCAAAACUGUUCCUAUUGACUAUGGUGUGUACAGCGUUUGCGUUGUCAUUAUCUAUCUGUUACAAUAUUUGAUUAUGAUCUUAAAAAAUCAUGUGUAUCAGUGUCUUUAAGCAGUAUUCACAUAGAAGAUCUAGUAAAUCAUUCUAUUACUUGUUUUUGUUGUUGUCUUACCAUGUAGAAGUAAGCCUCAGUUGUGCAUAAAUUUUCUCUCAUAUAGCUUGGCUGAAUUUUGAAAUUAUAUAUUGCAUUUAUUCAUUUACAACAAGGAAUUACAAACAAUCACCAGAUCACACUCAACAGUAUCAACUUGUGCUAGUCAAUCAGUAAAGUAAGCGAUUUACGGAUACAUGUUGCUGUUGACUCAAUGGAUAAAUGCUUGUUCAUGUUGUUGUUGUCUGUUGCACAACUGCUGGGUGCUAGCUGCUACCUGGUAGUAGAAUAAGUUCAUGUAGGGUGCUACCUGCUUUGUUAAGUCAUAAACUUUGUUAAGGUCUUAAGGACAGUUAAUUUGUUGGCUUGUUGCUGCUGUAUUUUUAAAUUUUAUGCUGGAUGUUGGAUGUUGGAUGUUGUUGUUAAGUUACUUUGCUGCUGGACAGUUAAUUUGUUGGACAUUUAACAAUUAAUUUGCUGCUGUAUUUGUUGGCUUGUUGCUGCUGUGUCAUAAACUUUAUGUUGGAUGUUGCUAGUUGUUUGUUGCAUGUCGGAUGUUGGAUGUUGGAUGUUGGAUGUUGGAUGUUGCUGUUAAGUUACUUUGUAAUUUGUUGUUGUAUUCUUAAUUUUAAAAAGAGCACAUGUUCGGUUAUUACCCGAAUACCCGAAUGUACAAUUCGAUAAUUCGGUAAUUCGGUUAGUUUUAAAUUUCGGUUAAUGUUUCGGAUAAUAGAAUUAUCGAUAAUUCGGUAUAUGGUUAUAACCGAAUAACCUAUUCGGUUCGGUUAUAACCGAAUGAUUACUCCUACUCAAAAUCACUAAGCCCGUAUUUGUUUACUAUAAUAACACUUGUGAUUAGAUUAUUAAUCUCAAGUUCUUUAUUUAUUUUUAAAAUUAGACUUAUUAAUUAGUCCCGUGAUAAUAAAAUAACUUUAAAUACCAAAUAUUAUAAUCCCACUACGAGGAAUUAAAAUUUUUUGGACAAAACCAACCUUUACUAUUUAUUUAUAAUAUGACUAAAAUUAUAAUCAAAUAAUGCUCGAUAUGCGUUACAGGGUUCUAAAGUGAGAUGCUCCCAUAUCAUAUGGGUCACACGUGAUCAAUUGCAUUUAUAUUGAAAAGGGAUAAGCAUUUGAAUUCUUAGUCAGCAUUUUUUUAAAAUAUUUAUUUCGUUCUAAAAUUAAGAUUAUUAAUUGAUAAAAAUUAAUUUAAAAUAAAAAAAUGUGGUAAUUUUAAAUUUAAAAAUAUUUUAAAUUUAUUUUUAAAAAUUAAUAAUAAUAUUAUAUGUUAGAACCAUAAUAGUAUCAUCUUAUCUGGCAUUUUAUUGUAGCUUUAUUAGUCAAGAUUCUCAAGUACUUUAAUUCGAAGAUUUUUAUGUAACCAAAUAAUGCUCGUGAGUUAUUACUGUUUGUUUAUUUUUUUAUUUUUGUCUAUUAAAUAUAAUAAAUAUAAAUAUGAACAUUGAAUACUGUAUUUGCAAAUGGAACUGCUUUGUAAAAUGUUUCUUAUUCCGUUUAUUUUAUUUAUGUUUAUUAUUAUUAUUAUUAUUAUUAUUAUUAUUAUUAUUAUUAUUAUUAUUAUUAUUAUUAUUAUUAUUAUUUUGUCUAUUAAAUAUAAUGAAUACAAUUUGAAUUGUUUGUCAAUUUUUUUAAUGUCCAAGCUAGUUAAAUUAUAAUUUAAAAUAUGUUAUUAUUGAUAAGGGUGUAAUAGUCCAAAUGAUAAAUUUUUUAUCCAAUCCUUUAAAUAAUUCUAAACAAAACAAACAUGAGAGUAAGAUUAUUAAAUCCUAAGAUUAAUAUUCUUGGAUUAUAAUCCCAGAUUAUAAUCUUUGCAAAUAAACAUAAUUGAACGCGUUAUAUAAAAUAGCUUAAUAAUCUUGACAUUAUAAUUAUAAUCUCGGAAUUAUAAUCUUAGUAUUAAUAAUCUUGGAAUUAUAAUCUUAUAAAUUUUAAUUAUGAGAUUAUAAUCUUUUCAAACAAACAUAGCUUAUGAAAAAUAAUUUAUAUGUUAAUUAAUUUUAUAUUUAAUGUGAUUGUAAUUAAUGUGAAUUUAUAAAUAAAAAAAUAAUGUGUUAAUCAUUUUUUUUAUUCUCUCCUAAUUCAUGUAUCACAUACGUGUAUUUAAUAUUUCACAUAAAUUUUUUACAUUAUGUGUUGUCGGGCAUAAACAAAUUAGAGUAAAGUUCAGAUAACCACUUGGGGUUUGGUCGCUUUCCCACUUAACCACCUGUAGUCAGUAAAGUUAUAUUUAAACUCUUGACUUUUUGAGUUGAAGUAAAAACGUCACUUUUUCCAUCCAACUUAACCGUGCGUGUAUGUCAGACGCCAAAAGCGCAUGAGAACAGGCUGUAACGGUCAAAAAUAACUGGUAAAUGUCUGAAAUACCCCUUUCUUCCUCUUGGCUUUUAAAAGACAAUCUGAAUCAUUUUGUUCUACCCCAUUUCAGCUCCAUCGCAGACGUGAUGUAGCAGACGAAAUUGAAAGCUACUAGCAGACCAAAUUCAGUUAGUAUACUUCUUAACUAAAGCUCCAAAAACCGUAGCACACAGUGAGAGAAGGAAAAGGAAUCCGGCUGGUAAAGGAGAAAGAUUUGAGCAACAACCAUUUGCAAUUUCUUAAGGUAAGUUUUCCAAUCCCCUUCCAUUCCUUUUUCAUUUCAUCCUUGUUAAGAAAAUGACUUUCAUGGCCUAAUGGUUGGGCAUGAACUUGAAGGACUGUUUGUCCUUUUAGUUGCUAUGUUGCUGCUGUAAGAUUUAGUUCACUGGUAUGCUACUGUUAUUUAUGGAAAUUAGACACAAGGAGAUAGGUUGGGCUCUGGAGUAAUAAGGAUGUUGUUAUGGGUUGUUAUUGUAAACAAUGGCUAUGAAAUUAGUAACCUAAAACUAUGCCUAUCAGUUGUUUGAUAAAAGUUCUAAAAGAACUAUUUUGACUAAAAAAUAUAUAUUAGACCAAAGUAAAGCUUGGGCUUGACUUUUUUAUCAUAUGUGGUGUUAAUUAGAAAAUUUGAAGGUAUUAGAUUAGAGCGAAAAGCAAAUUCAAGCUAAAACUAAUAUAUAUACAUUUAUGGUCUACUCUUUGAUAUUAUUUUUCGUGUUGUUUAUGUGAAUCAGGAGUCAUGUCUUCGUCAAACAAUGAUGUAGGAAGGAUGAAUGGUGACUUCCGCUACAUACCUAGGCGAUGUAAAUGUAGAAAAAAGUAAGUGUAAGAAUUUUUGACUCGAACAAACCAUCGAAUGGGAGGUUAUAUUUUGUAUGCGAUGAGUGUGAGUUUUGGGCAUGGUGCUUGCCUUCUACAACAAACUCAAGUGGAAUAGUCAAUGGCCCCAAUGAAGACAAUGACAUAAUGGGGACAAAAUGCAAGUGUUCAUGUGAGCUGAAUAACAUACCAAGUAGGAUGAUAGUUGUUGAAAAUAAUGUUAAGAUGAUAAUUGUUGUUGGACUUGUGUUGUAUUUUAUGUCAGUCAUGAUGUAUUUUAUUAGUAACAAAUGAAUGUAUAAACUAAAUGAAUGUAGUUUAGGAGACCAAUGGUAGCAGGCUUUUUUCUUCGUUAGACUUUAUGUUAUGGAUCCCUGGAAUUAGUUUUUCAUCUUUAAAUUAUUGGAUUGC
Molecule: long non-coding RNA, 5935 nt
Filed under: Panax ginseng (ginseng)
Lineage: Eukaryota; Viridiplantae; Streptophyta; Magnoliopsida; Apiales; Araliaceae
Description: long non-coding RNA (PGIN_LNC006154)
Source: RNAcentral